AAAUCCAUGAAAUCUAGAAAGUCCUUUGAAAACACAGCAAGAUUCUUGCUGAAGGAGGAGGAUAGACACUGCUUUCUGUUGCAGGAUCAUUUUCGGAAGAGCAGACAGUGAGGAAAUCUGAACCCAGGUAUCUCUUACCACACACACAGCAGCAGUCUGCAAAUCCUGUGGGGCUCUGACCAGUUCAGAACAAAAUCGUGUGUCAAUGGCAGUCAAGUCUGGUGACUCGGAUUUGGCCCUGCGUUUCCCACUCCUGCUGCAUCUUACCCAGUCGAGGAACGAAAGGUCUUGACACCUUCCUGAAGCAUGGGAAGAAAGGAGGUUCUGAAAGCACAGAUCCAAGACCACCAGAGGCCGGGGACAGCGAUUCCUGGAGGGGCCGCUCACACAACACCAGGAGCUGAGGAGAACUGGAGCAGGAGGAACAUGGGCCCAACAAGGGUGGAAAUACCAGCAAUUCCAAAAGUCAUCUACAUCAGUGCCCAGGACGCCCAUGCAGAACCCACUGAAUGGAAGAAAACGUGGUGGCUGCUUCCUCAAUUUGCAACUGCAGAAGCUGGAAUAAGGGCCUGAGAAGGCAGAGAAGCCACAUGAGUCCAGUCCCAAAGCUGUCAGAGUAACCCUGAGGGAACUGUCUACUGAAUUAUGACCAGUUGUGCCAACAGACAUUGAGAAGAGACCUCCUUUCCAUUGGCUCCUAUCACACCUGGCUGCCACUGCUCCUGGGAUCUGGACCAUCUUGUAUCCACCUUUGAGCGUCACUUCCUGUUUCAGCUGUGGGAGUUCUGGUCCACUUUCCCUGUGAAGAAACCUUCACUUUUUCCUCCUUUGGAGUUCUGGAUUAGACUCUUGUACCUGGAACUGGGUCAAGUUAGGCUAAACGCACCUCUAGGCAUUCCUGUUUCUCAGAAGUUGUCAAGUUCACAUCAUACCUGUUUCAUUGGUGACCAGGGGUCCACUUCUAGCAGAUGCUACCUGGCCUGGUCAGUAUUUUUCAUGGUCAUCUCUUUAGUGCCUUUAUCUCAUCCCCUGCCCAACUCAGGUGAGACUUGCCCAGUGGUGACUUCUCUCCUGGUACUUUAGAUAGGGAGAGAAAAUGUGGCUUGGUGGAUCUGCCAUCUUCUUCAGUUUGGAGGCAAUUGGAGCAUGGCUCCAUCUAGGGAGGAAAAUGACUCCGAAAGAGACUGUCCUUAUCUCAGCUUCUGCCCUGUUCUACUCUCACAAUCCUUAUUCUUGCCCUUUGUGCCUGUCGUAAUGCAGGAGAAUUGUGGUUUUCUUUUUUCUAUUAAAUAUAACUGUAGCUAUUUUCAUUAUUGCAAAACAGCACAAGCUUAUUACGAAAACAUGAGAAAUAUAGACAAUAGAAGACAAAAAAUAUUCCCAAAUUUUAUCCCAAAGACAAGACAACUAUUGAUUCAUAUAGUUAUACAAUAUCAUACACAUAUACUACAUAUAUUUAUAUAUUUAAUGUGACUAUAAUAUCACAAUACCAUUUAUAUUCUUUGAUAACACAUCUUGUCAUUUAAUGUCUUAUGAAUAUAUUUCUAUAGCAACAAGCUCAGCUAUACUGAAAUUUUAAGAGUACUCAAUUGUAUAUAUGCCCUCAUUUAUCUCAUCUCACAUAGUUUAAUGUUUAGGCUGUUACCUCCUUUUCUAUAUUGUCAUUAAUGAUCAUGGAUUUAGUUUAAUCUUCCUAUAAUUAUUUCCGUAAGGUAAAUCCUUAGAAAGGGAUCGAAGGAUGAGUAGUAAAGGUUGCAAAGCUCUCCGAAUCUGGAGCCAGCAAUAACUGCUCAGACUCCCUUAAAAAUAAGAGCUCUAGGAAGGCCACACAUGCCCUUUCCCAGAUUCCUUCCCAUAGCUACACUUGGGCAGCCCUGACUUCUUUCACCUUGCCCUGAACGGAGAAUAGCCCUGAGAGAUGGCUGAGGAACAGGUAGUGAAUGAGCGAGUGGUGGUGUCAGUUUGGGUUUGGUUUUUGGAUAAACUUCACAGUUCCUCAUUGGAUGCUGAGAAAUGAUUAUUCAUUCAUGACCCAUUUAUGGAAGAGCCAUUGCUUCCAGAUGCCAGGCUAGAGGCUGAGAAGACAGAGAUGGAUUAAACAGGAAUUCUUCUCUCAGGAAUAGCACAGCCUAGGGAAGGAAGGCCCGUGAUAGACAGCACACAUUUACUCCAUGAUAAAGAGGAAACGUAUAAGAUCAGUAAUAUAUCUCAGGGAAGAAAACUGGAACCAUCUAAAAUCCCACAGGGAAAAUAUGAGGUUCCUGCAGUCUACUAGCCCAUUCAUCUCAGCUAACACCUUUGUGUGGAUCCUUUGGUGGUGAGACUUGCUCGCUUGUGGUCAUCCUUGCUAAACACAACCUGCCCAAAGGCAUUGACCGUGUCCUUCCUUUGCACCUCUAGCAAACUGGUACCAUCUUAUACCAUGGCUUCUGAAAUCUGUUCAGUGUAAAAUCCAAAUUAGAGUAAACAAAAUUAAAGGUAAAGAGAUUCAUGAGUUGAAACAAAGACUCAAUGUUUUAUGUAUGUAAGAAAAUUUGCAUUAAUUCAUAUCCUUCUGCCUGAUAGAAACUUUCUCAGAUAUUUCAUUAUAGAAGAAACAAUCACAUUCCAGAAAAUGUGGGAAGUAGAGAAAAGGAGAAUUAUCAGCCCAUCUCACCAUCCUAACCCAGGGCAAAUAGCAUUCUAGUGACCUUUGCCCUGAAAAAUUUGUAUUAAGAUGGUGUUGAGGACAAGAGCUAAGGAACAUGUGAGUUUUUCAUCUCCAAUUUUAUUGUGAAUAAAUAUAUCUGAUAGUGAAUUAUAUUCAUGUAGUUCAAAAUUCAAAAACACAAAAACAGAGACUGAAAAGUCCAUGAACCCCAGCCUCUAUUACUUGGAGACAUCCAGGAGUCUCAGUGUCUUGUGUAUCCUUCUAGAGUUUUUGUGCAUAUUAAACCAUGCGUGUUUAUAAAAUAUGAGUUUUGACUAGAGGGCUUUGGCAAAACUGUUACCAAAUGUCCUAAAUUUAGCUAAACUAUCUUCAGUAAUUUUAAUGGCAGGCCUGAGGUACAGAUGGAGAAGAGAAAAGGAUGGAGAGAGCGAGAGAGAGAGAGAGAGAGAGAGAGAGAGAGAGAGUGCUCCUGAGGGAGAGCGUGAAAGAAAGAGCAAUCUUUCAUUUAUCCAACUAGUAUUUAUUGAGCAGAUAUUACAUCUCAGAUAUUAUUCUAUGCCCAGGUGAUACAAGAGUGAAAAAAAUUCCCUGACUUCAUGGGGAUUAAGAAUGGAAGGUGGCAAACAAUAACCAUAAUCAAAAAGUAAAUUAUAAAGUCCAUCAGAAUGUGAUAAGCGUUAUGGAAAAACACAAGUGGGGUCCAGGAGAUGAGGCACAUCAGGAGACAGUUUUAACAUGAGUGGUCAGGGAGGGCUUCACUGAGGAGGCCUUAAAGGAGGCGAGAAGAUGGGCCCUGCAGAUACUCAGGGAAAGGGCACUGCAGAGGGAAGAAGCAAUGCACAGGCCUCGCAGCAGAAGUCAAGGCCUGGAGGUUUCCAGCAGCCAACCUCCUCCAGCUCCGGGCUGUUCCUGGUAACCUGUGCCCGCAGCUGGCUUCCCUUGGAGUUCAGGUCAGGCCGGUGUGUUUGGGCCAUAGUGCUAAGCUUACUGUAUACUAGACGUCAGUUUGUCUUCUCUCUAAAUUUUGAUUCUGAUGCUUAAUUUGACUCCUUCCAAGGUGAUUCUGUGGUUAGUCUGAAUAAGGAAAGGAGAGGGGCAGUGUUAUUGUAGUAGGUAGACAAGGUUGACAUUUGGGGGUCCUGGCUUUUAAACCAAUUCUGUUUUCAAGUCUUUUGUCAGACACAUUAUUCAACCUUUCCGGUCCUCAGGUUUGUCUCUUAGGAAACAAAAAGAAUGUGCUUAGUUGGCUUUAGGGCUGUCCCUACCAUUGGUUUUCAAGCUCUGUGACCAUGUGAGCAGUCCAGGUAGGAAGUGGCAUCAGAUGACAUCUAGCAACACCAGGGGACACAGAGGAGCUUCUGCCUGCAGAGGACUGUGUGCAUGAUAUGUGCCGCCACCUCGUUUCCCUUCUAGACUAGAAGAGCCCAGACCAGAAGAGCCCAGACCAUCCUUCAAAUAGAAUAUUUCACCUGAAUAAGCCCAGAAUUCCCUAAGUGAACAGAGGAGACAUGGGGACACGGUUAAUUGCUUUGUUCUUGUGCCGUUGGCAGUAUGGUUCCCUUUAAGCCCAGAAGGGCUCCUUUCCCCUGCCCCUUGGCGGAGCUCAUUCUCCAUAUGCAGUAGGGGUGGCAUGCUGGGGCCAGGGCUCCUUGUUUUGUUCCUGUGGGCCACAGAGGUCCCCUCCCUGUUUAGUGUCUUCCAGUUGGACACAGGGAGUCUUCGUCUACCUGGGGAAUAAGACACUGAGGAGGAGGGAAGCGUGUCAUGGACACCACUCUCCUUCCAGCAAAGUCACUGUGAAUUUAAAACUCAGACUGUGUGUAAGAGGUUGUGGGGGCAGAAAGGGGCCUUUGGAAAUUUCAUUUGGAGGCAGAGGUGCUAAACAUGAAUAGAAGCCUUUGCUUUGACUCUCAGAGGGUGAGUCACCUUGGUUAUAGUUACUCUUGGUUAUUCCUUGCUUUUUCUUUUGUUAUCUCCGCCCGCACCCCCGCCAUACCCACCCAUCUUUAGCAUUCUUAGCUGCUUUUCUACAGGUCAGCUGAAAAGUGACUUGCAGAAUAGGGCUUCUCUUCCCCUAUUGGAGUUCAUGGGCAUUAUGUUUCCUAGCACUGGGAGGAAAUAUACACGACCAUGCACUUUCCACUCAUAAAGGACCCUGAGGUAUUUAAUUGUGAAAAUCAACUUCUGAUUUAUGUUACUUUCCCAGUGCCUUUUCUUUACACACAUAUGAAAAUUGCUCUAUUACUUCUUACAUUUCAUGCAGUGCCCUUUGUCUCCAUCAACUGUUGUGGAGAGAAAUUUUAUUUGGAAUAUUCAUAACAAGUCUAUCGCUAAUUAUCACUUUAACAAUGUGUUAUGGAGUGUAUCCAUGCAGUCAUCUGGAAAAGCACAUAUGCCAUGAAAUUUGGGGACUUGCUGUGUGCUGUAGGUGCCCAGUCUCAGUGUUUCAUCAGAUCUUUGCUUGGGGAGGAGGUAGAGGUGCUUUGUGAGGGAGUAUGGAGGCCUGCAUCCUGCAUUCCUGUCCUCAUAGCAACAGUUUCCAGGGUGACUUGUUUUUGAGUGUAAAAAAAACCUUAAUGUGAAACAAAAACCCUUCCCUACUCUGCAGCCCUAUUACGGUCAGCCCAGGUCAGUGCCAGGUAGACUGAUCUUAGCCACAGAGCUAAUCGCAGAUGAAGACCCUGCUGUUCUUGGUGCCAUCCUGGCACUCUGGCAAGAAGAGUGGAGCUAAAAUUGCCACCUGGUUGGCAGGCCUCAGAAGCAAAUGGAGAGUGACCUCAGCAUGUCAGAAUGAGAAAGGAAAGAAUGCCUCGGCGUUUCUUUCUUCCUGCUCUCUUUUCUCUGGGAAAGGAGAAUGGACUCACACUGGGUUUCUUCUCCAGGAUUCUCAGUGAGUCUGGGAUUUGGGAGGCUAGAAUCAUAUUUUUACCAGGACACAUGGAGCGCUUCCCUCUGAAGCUUCCUGAUGGACAUGGAUGAAGCCCCAGAGGCUGCCUCCAAAUGAGGGCAGAGUAAUGGAGCCUAAUGGAGCACAGCUCCUAGUCUGAGCACAGUCCUACCGCAGGGAUAAAUCAAGCAGCCUUUAGGUGGGGCCAGGAAGGGGACAGAGGGAAAUGAAUGACUGUGUUGAGCUCAGCAUGACUUUGUGGAUCCUCUGAAGCUUUUAACUAAGUGGAGGAUUCAGACUCAGGAAUUUACUGAGGAAUAUGACUUGGAAGGAUGGAAAGUUGCAUCUGUUAUAACAAGCUUUUAAGGAUGAGUUUUCAGAGCACUUGGAGCCUGGUUUUGUUGGAUGUUACUUUAGAAAUAAUAACUACUUAUUAUUUGUUAAGUGCUUACUCAGUACUAGGCACAUUGUUCAUCAUAAUCAAUAAUACCUAACAUUGAUGGAGUAUUUGUGAUGUACCAAACUCUCAAGCACUUUAGAUUCUGACUUAACUAGGUCCUAGAAGGAAGCCCCCAUUGGAGCCAUCACUAAUAUGUAGAGAAAUUGAGGCUCAGGGUAUUAGAUAACUUACCAGAAACACUAAGGAAACCAGUAGCUUUAGGUCAGUCACUUACCUGUUUCAGGACACAGAGCACAGAGGCUUUCCCCCUUUACCCUUUAUGAAACAGCAGGAGAGGACGGGGGCUGUAUCUCAGUGGUAGAGCUCUUGCCUAGCGUGUGCAAGGCUCUGGGUUUGAUCCCUUGUACCACAAAAACAAAACAACCAUAACAACAGCAAAACCAGCAGGAGAAAGUGCUGAGAAACAGCAAGAAAGUGGGGCACUGAAAGGGGACAGGAGUCUGUGUAGCCCUGGGUCAGUGCUGGUACAAAGCUGGCCUUAUGACCUGGGUGCUUUGCAUCUGUUAUAAUGCACUGUGAAAACCCAGUGUUAGCUGUUGUCCUAAAGAACUGAUUCAAUAAACCCUACAUUUCUGGACAUUUGGUUUCCUUGUUUCUAUUUGGGUGGCACUAGGAUUUGGGAGGAGCUAGUUGGGAAUGUAUUUAAGGAGGAAAACUUUGGAUGUGGUUUUAGAAACAAGGCACCACAACCAGACUGUGAUGCAGGCUUCAUCUGUGGACAGGUGUAUGUGGACAGGUGCAUUGUGCAGGCACCAGCGCGGGCAGAGGAAGUGGUAGGUUUGAAGGUAGCAAAAUAGGGCGGCUUUGUUGUUGUCUGGCAUGGGCCCUGCCAGGCCACAUCCAUUAACUAUGCCAACACCACUGCUAAUAGGUGGGUGAUUCAGCUCCUUCCUGCAUUUUAUUGCCCAACAGAGACUUUAAUAGCCUUUUGAUUUAGCAAGUUAACAAAGUAAGCUCUCAAGCUCCACUGUUUAACACCAGCUGGAUGACCCUGGGCCUGCUGCUGCCUGGAGCCCUCUGGUACAGUCUUUGCAUUGAAAGAAGAGAAAGCUGUGGAAUUUUCAGGCUCUCCUCGAGAGCUCCUUUUGGGGCAGCCCUGCCAGCCCAGCAUGCUUAGACCCCUCCGAUGUCAUAUGUCGCCCCCGCCCCCAUCAGUCCAGCCGCAGAAGAGAUCUGUCUAGAAGUUAAUAUCCCAGGAACCUAAAGGUUGGGUGUCUUUGAGGAAGAGUGUCAGAUGAGAAUGUGAGGGUUCCCGGAUGGGGCUCUUUAUUGAUUUCCUGGAACUAUUGUGUAACAAAUUAUCACAAACUGGAUAAUUUAAACAAUAAACACAUUCUACCACAGUUCUAAAAGCCAGAAGUUUGAACUCAAGGUGUUGGUAGGGCCAUGCUCCCUCAGAAGGCCCUAGAGAAGGACCUUUGCAUGUCUCUUACUGGCUUCUGGUGGUUGCCAGUGAUCCUUACUGUCCCUUAGCUCGUAGACACAUCACUCUGUCUCUGCCUCUGUGGCCACACAGCCUUCUCCCUGUGUACGUCUUAUAAGGACACAAGCUGUAUUGGAUUUGGGGUCCACACAACUCCAGGAUGCUCUCAUCUUAACUAGUUACAGCUGGAAAGGCCCUGUUUGAAAGCAACAUAAGAGUCUGAGGUUCUGGGUGGACCUGAAUGUCCAGGCCCUUUAAAAGCAAGUGAAAAGAGGUAGGCCAUGUGGUAGCUGAUUCACACAGCUAGAGAGAGGUGGUUUCAGACAACACUUUCUGGUACAACUUUGUGCAGUGAUGGGAAGGCCCUGUAGCUGCACUGCUGAAAAUGUGGCUAAUGCGACAGAGGAACUGAAUUUAGCAUUGUGAUUGAUUUAAAUUAAGUUAAACAGUCAAGUCAUGUGACCAGGGGCUACUGUUGCAGAGAGCAAAGCCCUCAACCAGUGAAGGUGAACCUUUUAGAAACUGAGUGCCCAAACUGCAACAUAGAACCUACUUAUUUAUCGCAAAGUGCCAACACUGCCAUUAAACCCGAAUACUGAGGCUUUAGUUUAGAAAAGACAACUCAUAUAAUAAUAUCUUUUGUCUUGAAAGAAAAACAAAUAACACACGUGUCAUAGGUUCACCACCGCUGCCCUAAACCCUCCUGAGUGUGGAAUAGGAGAAGGAGACGUGAAGGCUGUCAAAGUCUGGGCAGGGCCAUUUGCAUCCAGGAUGGCCAUCAGCUGUUUAGGAUGCUGAUCAAGGUCUGCAGGGGUCUCUUUCCGUCUCCGGCUAGAGGAAGGACAUCACAUGGGAUCUCAGCACACAGGACAAUGGUCUCGGGAGUUCUUAAACCAGCAGCACCUCUUCCAAAGGAAGUCAUUUGUACUUUUGACAUGUAGGACCAUUAGUUGGAAGAGAGGCUGAUUUGGAUGGAGGUCAGAGACCUUCAUAGGGUUCCACCUUGCCUUCUCUUGAACCCUGAACCACAAAGUGAGGAAAUUAUGGUUGAGCCUACCAACCAUGUGAGAGAACAAGAAAUGGAGGUUCAGAGAAGUAGAGAAACUUAACAAGGUCACAGAGCAAGUGGUUUGAUGAAUAUCGUUAUCUUUGGAUUUCUGAGGAUCCAUUCCUGGGUCCUUCUAAAGUCCUUGAUGCCCUUUUUGAAAGAAGAUACUCAGUCUACUAGUCAGCUACUAUGAAAAAACUACUCUAAGGUCAGAUGCAACUUCUGGCUUAAUCACAACAGAAUUAAUGUUUGUUCGGUUGCUGGUUUUGUUUUGUGAACUGGCUGAGAUCUGUAGGUGAGUAUUAUGCAUGGGUACCCUUUCCAGGUGCCACUCAUCAAAUGCACACUAUAUGCCAUUACAGGCUGAGUAGAGUCCUUCAUUUCAUUGUAUCAUUGAAUCUCCAUAGGUUGGUGAUGUUGGUAUUACUGAUCCCAUUUGGGGAAAACUGAGGCUCAUGGGAGUGGGAGGCAGGGUUCCCAACCCAUGCCUUUUGCUCAGGGAGUUGCUGUCUCCUUAGAAGGAUGGUAAAGAAAUAUAAAAUAUCUGUCAUGAAUUAGGAAGAAUGUCCUAAAAUCUCAAGGUGCCAUUUAAAGGCAAAGACCAGUGUGGCUCGUGAGGGAAGGAGAGGCCAGACCAGGAGGUGACCACAAGCAGGUACAAGGCAGCCAGGCAUCCCAACGCAAUGCUGUGGUAAGAAAGCAAGGAGUAGAACAGCGUUGUGGAAAGUGAAAACCGCCUAGGAUGUGUGGGAGGCUGGAGGCAGAUGGGUGUGGAUGAGAAGGGCAAUAGGAGGGAUCCUUGUGUGAUGGAAAUGCUCUGUCUUUUCCCUGUAUCCAUGACUUGCCAUGAUAUUGUGGUAUAAGGUAGUUUUGCAAGACGUCGGCAUUGGGGGAAACUGGGUGAAGGGUACGUGAGAAUUCUAUGUGAAUCUAUACAAGUUUAAUUUUUAAAAUAUAUACAGAGUCUACUCCCAAAAAUGUAUAUACACUCCAAGAAAAGAAAUAUAGGAUGAUGUUUUUCCAACCCUCGUAUGGGGGAUCCUAGAGGAUGUCGUAUAUCGCAGAAAACCCACUCCACUGCUAGCCCUUAGAGAAGAAAUUAAAAGUACACGUGCAGCAAUUUCAAUGACCAAGGUUACACAAGCAGUAGUUGGCUGUACUAACAAAGUUCUGGAAGCCAGUGACCACACUUUGGCCACCUCUUGUAACUGUAGAGGCUGAAGGUAACUUACAUUAAACUCAUGAUGUCUCAAUAAAUUUAGUAUUAAAAUAUUUAUACAAGCUUUUCUUUUCUUGAAGUGCAUAUACUUUUUUGGUGAACUCUGUAUAUAUAUGGGAGAGAGAGUGGAGUUCACAGACCCCCAGCCCUUCACCCCUUGCAUGCACUCCAGGAGAAGCUUGCAUGGUGUCUUUUUGCAGCAAGGUAUCUUCAGGUGUCUGUCCUGGAUGCCUUUGGGCAGGACCAAGAGGAAUACAUGCCUGAGAGCUAGGCAGAUGGCACUCGGAGAGACAGAUGGCCAGAAUCCCCAGAGGUGGGAGCACUCACUGAGCACCUACUAGGUGCCAGGUGCUGUUCCAGGGCUAGAGACUGAGGUUAGGAAAGCUGGUGCAGCUUCCCACAGGUUUGCAUUGUACAGUUGAAGACAGAUGUAAACCAGGAACAGGGCAAUGCCAGGUGGUGACAGGUGCUGUGAAGAAGAUGAAAGAGCAGAGUGUGACAGAGUAGCUGGGGGCUGCUUUUGCUGGAGCAGUCAGGGAAGGCUUCUUUGAGGAAAACCUAAGUGAGAAGGAGGCAGCCAUGGGGACAUGUGAGGGAGAGUAUUCUAUGCAGGAGGAAGAGCAGGUGCAGGAUCUCUGAGACAGGAAUAAGCUUGUGCACGAGGGGCAAGAUGAAGACCAUAGGAAGGGAAGCACUGGCAUUGGGAGCUGGAGGGCGAUGAAGCUAAAAAGACAGGCAAAGGCCAGAUCCUAUAGGCAGGUGCUUGCAGAUGUUGGUAAGGAGUUGGUAUUGGGAGUCUCUGGCAGGUCUGAAGUAGGUACAUGGCCAGCUAUGUGUGGAUGGGUUUUAGAAGGGCAGGAGUGGAAAAUAGUAGACCACAUUGUACUACUGCAAUGGUCCAUGCAAGAGGGCAGUGUCAUGAGUAGGGCUUUGGCAUUGGCAUGGGAAACCUGUUGGAUUGGGGUUGCUCUGAGAGGAGAGCUAUCAGAGAUUUGCUGGUGGUUUACACAUGGAUGCGAUGGCAAGAAAAAGAUCCAGGAUGAUUCCCAGGUCUGCUGUUUCAUUCUAUCCCAGCUAACUCCAAAGGACUGGUCAGAGAAUGUCCUUCAGAGAAUAGCACUAAAAAUAGAUGAGAAUUGGGCUGAGCCUCAAAAAGUGUGGGUUGAAGGGGUGACCCCCUCACCAGUUUCACCACUCUGGUCCUUAGGCUCUUUCUUGCUGCAGGGAGCAGACCUGCUCUGCUUUUCUUGUACAUGGAGCUGAUUGUAAGAUGGUGGUGAGGUGAGGGGGUUUGGCAGCCAUCCUGGCAGUGGUCCUGUGACACCCAGGAGAACGGGGGCACAGUCUUCCCCCACCUAAGCAGCUAUCAGCAGACAUCAUAUACUGUCCAUGUCUCCACUGUUCUGAGCCAGCUGUGGUUUGGAGCCCCCUGCAGACAUGCUGCCUCCUCCUUCACUCUCUGGGCUGCACACUCCAGAUGCCCUGCAGGGAGAGUCUCCUAGGAUUGGCUGGUCCAUCCAGGCCAUGUCUGCAGGGCAGAGGGCUCGGGCCAGGCCAUUGCCAAGGCAGCUGGAGUCCUUGAUGCAUCCCCCAAAAGCCAUUGCCUUUGACUUGUUCUGGGCCUAGUUGUGGCCCAAGCAUCAUGGAACAGAAAAUGUGCAUAGCAGCACAAGUGCCCGGGGCUGGGUGUGACCUCCAGAGGUGUGGCAGGCAUUGGCAUAGACGUCCUGGACACAAAAGCUGUGCAAUUCAGGAAGGCCAGUGUCCAGUGGAUGAGAAGGACCUAACAUGUCAGUAAGGUGGACAGCUUCUGUCGGCAAAAGUGGGAGGCACGCAGAAAAUAACCUUGGAUUUGUGUAAUAGUAUCUCUUGUGAUGUGGGAUUAAUUUUAUCUUUGGUGCUGCAUCUUUGGUGGCCCAGGGAACGCUGCAUUUCUCCACUCUCUUCCGUCCAUCAAAGUGGCUCCUCAAAGAGCACUUCUCACAUUCCUCACCCCAAGGAUAGAACAGAAUCACCUCAAGCACAGAACCAUGGCCCUAGGGGACAUGGCCUUCACCUGCUUCCUUUUUAUCUGCCUCGCCUAAUUCAUCUUUCCUUUCUUUUUCUCCCUUAAUCCCUCGAAGUUAGCCAGGGAGGGGCAGAAAGGAAUCUUGGUUUUUGUCUGACUCUAUAGGAGUACAGUUGCUAGAACUGAACUGUGUUUCCCCUAAAUUCCUAGGUUGAGCCCGAAUCCUACUGUAAGUGUAUGUGGACAGAGGCCUUGAGGGGGGAAAGGGUCCUGCAGAGCACUGGUAUUCUUAGGAGAAGAGACGCUAGAGGUUGCUUCCUCCCCUGCACACACAGAGGAAAGUUCAUCGGGGUCAGACAGAAGGCAGAUGUCUACAAGCCAGGAAGAAAGUCCUCACUAGACAGCUAAUCCUCAGAACCUUGAUCUGAGACUCCGCAGCCUCCAGAACUUUGUGAAAUUACAC
RNAcentral lists this long non-coding RNA (12158 nucleotides) under Heterocephalus glaber (naked mole-rat). RNAcentral describes it as "lncRNA (ENSHGLG00100045087.1)". The record is from RNAcentral. Lineage: Eukaryota; Metazoa; Chordata; Mammalia; Rodentia; Bathyergidae.